Molecule: ribosomal RNA, 253 nt
Filed under: uncultured bacterium
Lineage: Bacteria
Description: partial 16S ribosomal RNA
Rfam family: Bacterial small subunit ribosomal RNA
Source: RNAcentral
UACGUAGGGUGCGAGCGUUAAUCGGAAUUACUGGGCGUAAAGCGUGCGCAGGCGGUUCGUUAAGUCAGAUGCGAAAGCCCCGGGCUCAACCUGGGAACUGCAUUUGAAACUGGCGGGCUUGAGUGUGGCAGAGGGGGGUGGAAUUCCGCGUGUAGCAGUGAAAUGCGUAGAGAUGCGGAGGAACACCGAUGGCGAAGGCAGCCCCCUGGGCCAACACUGACGCUCAGGCACGAAAGCGUGGGGAGCAAACAGG